UACGUAUGGGGCGAGCGUUAUUCGGAUUCAUUGGGCGUAAAGCGCAUGUAGGUGGUCCUUUAAGUCGAUGGUGAAAUUUUCAGGCUUAACCUGAAAACCGCUGUCGAUACUGGGGGACUUGAGUUCAGGAGAGGAGAAUGGAAUUCCAGGUGUAGGGGUGAAAUCUGUAGAUAUCUGGAAGAACACCAGUGGCGAAGGCGAUUCUCUGGCCUGAAACUGACACUGAGAUGCGAAAGCUAGGGGAU
Molecule: ribosomal RNA, 245 nt
Filed under: uncultured bacterium
Lineage: Bacteria
Description: partial 16S ribosomal RNA
Rfam family: Bacterial small subunit ribosomal RNA
Source: RNAcentral